AAUACCAACUUCUGCAUUGUGAUUGACUGAUAACAGGAACUUGCGCUUCGUGUAAUACUGACGGUGACGAGGUUGCACUUUCUAAACAAUGUAAACAAAAUAGUAAUCCAGCAUACAGUCCCAGUGGGAACGUUGAUGCCUUGGCUUGGAAGUGCAAUUGCUUUAAUGGUGACUGUGUAGAGGAUUGGCUUUCGAGUCUUCAACAACGCAAUGUCGUUUUCAAAGGUUUUCGAAAAAAGGAAACACCUGAGUGUUCGAUUUUCCACAGAAGUGAAUAAGAUUGCGAUCCAGCAUCCAAGUUUUUCUGGUCGAACACACCAAAUAUUACAUAGAAUUGGGUUAACCUGCAGUGCAGUGAGCAGCAGUUAACACGUAUCGUUCAGAAAUAAGAGAACAACCACAAAAGAAUUGAUUGGUUGGUGUAUACACCAAUAACCCUUGCCAUGGCCACUUUCCCAGCUUAGAAAUAGCUCCUCCAACUAUUUUCGAAUUGCCUGCUGAAUCACCAACAACUUAAUAUUUAUUACUGUACACAAUAAUAGUUUGAUGCCGAGCACCAUAGGUUUCAGAACAACAAGCAUGAGUUGGUGUUUAUGGAAAUAAAUUCAAAUAAUGUCUUGAUCUAUCUUUUUUAUUAUGUGAUCGUGUCUCACUAUCGUUAUUUUUUCCGAUCCUGUAUUGUUUUUUUUUAACUGUGUUGUCAUAUUAUACUUUGCAUUCAUUUGACUUUUUGUGUCGUUAAACUUUCUACAAUCAGCCAAACACAAUCUAAUUGCUUUGUGUGAAAUUGCAACUACAUAGUAAUCUGUUUUAAUGUUAUUACUGCAACCAUGUGUGGAUUGCUUCUAUAAAAUUACUACCUUUCUGAAAAAAGAGUUAGAAAUGGAAAGCUAUGACUAUCCAGAAAUGUGUUGGAACAGCUAAACAAGUAUUGUUAAAUUUUAUAUA
Molecule: non-coding RNA, 948 nt
Organism: Ciona intestinalis (vase tunicate)
Lineage: Eukaryota; Metazoa; Chordata; Ascidiacea; Phlebobranchia; Cionidae
Source: RefSeq, a predicted model, not a curated record